GGCGAACGGGUGAGUAACACGUGGGUAAUCUGCCCUGCACUCUGGGAUAAGCCCGGGAAACUGGGUCUAAUACCGGAUACGACCUGUGAAGGCAUCUUCAUGGGUGGAAAGUUCCGGCGGUGCAGGAUGAGCCCGCGGCCUAUCAGCUUGUUGGUGGGGUGAUGGCCUACCAAGGCGACGACGGGUAGCCGGCCUGAGGGGGCGACCGGCCACACUGGGACUGAGACACGGCCCAGACUCCUACGGGAGGCAGCAGUGGGGAAUCUUGCGCAAUGGGCGGAAGCCUGACGCAGCGACGCCGCGUGAGGGAUGACGGCCUUCGGGUUGUAAACCUCUUUCGACCUCGACGAAGCGAGAGUGACGGUAGGGGUAGAAGAAGCACCGGCUAACUACGUGCCAGCAGCCGCGGUAAUACGUAGGGUGCGAGCGUUGUCCGGAAUUAUUGGGCGUAAAGAGCUCGUAGGCGGUUUGUUGCGUCGGCCGUGAAAACUUGAGGCUUAACCUUGAGCUUGCGGUCGAUACGGGCAGACUUGAGUUCGGCAGGGGAGACUGGAAUUCCUGGUGUAGCGGUGAAAUGCGCAGAUAUCAGGAGGAACACCGGUGGCGAAGGCGGGUCUCUGGGCCGAUACUGACGCUGAGGAGCGAAAGCGUGGGGAGCGAACAGGAUUAGAUACCCUGGUAGUCCACGCCGUAAACGUUGGGCGCUAGGUGUGGGGACCAUUCCACGGUUUCCGUGCCGUAGCUAACGCAUUAAGCGCCCCGCCUGGGGAGUACGGCCGCAAGGCUAAAACUCAAAGGAGUUGACGGGGGCCCGCAC
Molecule: ribosomal RNA, 817 nt
Filed under: uncultured bacterium
Lineage: Bacteria
Description: bacterial SSU rRNA
Rfam family: Bacterial small subunit ribosomal RNA
Source: RNAcentral